UACGGAGGGUGCAAGCGUUGUCCGGAAUCACUGGGCGUAAAGGGCGCGUAGGCGGCUCAUGAAGGCUGUGGUGAAAGUCCGGGGCUCAACCUCGGAUCGGCCGUGGCGACUCGUGGGCUGGAGCACUGUAGAGGCGGGUGGAAUUCCGGGUGUAGAGGUGAAAUGCAUAGAGAUCCGGAAGAACACCGACGGCGAAGGCAGCGUCCUGGCCGAGCACUGACGCUCAGGCACGAAAGCGCGGGGAGCAAACAGG
RNAcentral lists this ribosomal RNA (253 nucleotides) under uncultured bacterium. Its description in RNAcentral is "partial 16S ribosomal RNA". It matches the Rfam family "Bacterial small subunit ribosomal RNA", at positions 524 to 776 of the family's 1533-position model. The record is from RNAcentral.